This 349-nucleotide unclassified non-coding RNA is filed under the name fungal sp. Its description in RNAcentral is "partial internal transcribed spacer region". The stretch from base 1 to 46 matches the Rfam family "Eukaryotic small subunit ribosomal RNA", at positions 1786 to 1831 of the family's 1831-position model. The record is from RNAcentral. Lineage: Eukaryota; Fungi.
AAGUCGUAACAAGGUUUCCGUAGGUGAACCUGCGGAAGGAUCAUUAAUUAAAAUUGGUGUUGGGGUUAGACUUAAGGUGUUAAGUGAGGGGGGAUCCUUAACGGGGUUUUCUUAAGCUUGCUCUCUUUAGUUUGCCUUUAACUCAUCAACUUGUGAACUUGCCUUUUGGUUUGUUUAAACAAUGUGCGUUAAAAAAGUAAGAAGGUUAACAAAUAAAUUGGGUCUUGAGGGCUUAAGGCGCUGUGGGAACUUUGUUAACUGAAUCACUUUUUAACAAACAAAUGUAGUUAUAGUCUCUUAAGAAAUAUAUAAUUAUAGACAACUUUCAGCAAUGGAUCUCUUGGCUCUU